Molecule: ribosomal RNA, 100 nt
Filed under: uncultured Enterococcus sp.
Lineage: Bacteria; Bacillati; Bacillota; Bacilli; Lactobacillales; Enterococcaceae
Description: partial 16S ribosomal RNA
Rfam family: Bacterial small subunit ribosomal RNA
Source: RNAcentral
AGCAGUAGGGAAUCUUCGGCAAUGGACGAAAGUCUGACCGAGCAACGCCGCGUGAGUGAAGAAGGUUUUCGGAUCGUAAAACUCUGUUGUUAGAGAAGAA